Molecule: ribosomal RNA, 371 nt
Filed under: uncultured prokaryote
Description: bacterial SSU rRNA
Rfam family: Bacterial small subunit ribosomal RNA
Source: RNAcentral
UACGUAGGUGGCAAGCGUUGUCCGGAAUUAUUGGGCGUAAAGCGCGCGCAGGUGGUUAUAUAAGUCUGAUUUUAAAGUUCGGGGCUCAACCCCGUGAUGGAUUAGAAACUGUAUGACUUGAGUACAGUAGAGGUAAGCGGAAUUCCCAGUGUAGCGGUGAAAUGCGUAGAUAUUGGGAGGAACACCAGUGGCGAAGGCGGCUUACUGGGCUGUAACUGACACUGAGGCGCGAAAGCUAGGGGAGCAAACGGGAUUAGAUACCCCGGUAGUCCUAGCUGUAAACGAUGGGUACUAGGUGUAGGUAUCGGAAGGUAUCUGUGCCGGAGUUAACGCAAUAAGUACCCCGCCUGGGGAGUACGGCCGCAAGGUUG